Molecule: ribosomal RNA, 413 nt
Filed under: uncultured bacterium
Lineage: Bacteria
Description: bacterial SSU rRNA
Rfam family: Bacterial small subunit ribosomal RNA
Source: RNAcentral
AACGAACGCUGGCGGCAGGCCUAACACAUGCAAGUCGAGCGCGCCCUUCGGGGUGAGCGGCGGACGGGUUAGUAACGCGUGGGAACAUACCCUUUGGUACGGAAUAGCCUCUGGAAACGGAGAGUAAUACCGUAUGAGCCCUUCGGGGGAAAGAUUUAUCGGAGAAGGAUCGGCCCGCGUUAGAUUAGAUAGUUGGUGGGGUAAUGGCCUACCAAGUCUACGAUCUAUAGCUGGUUUUAGAGGAUGAUCAGCAACACUGGGACUGAGACACGGCCCAGACUCCUACGGGAGGCAGCAGUGGGGAAUCUUAGACAAUGGGGGCAACCCUGAUCUAGCCAUGCCGCGUGAGUGACGAAGGCCCUAGGGUCGUAAAGCUCUUUCGCCAGGGAUGAUAAUGACAGUACCUGGUAAAG